UGCCAGCCGCCGCGGUAAUACCGGCGUCACAAGUGGAGAUCACGAUUACUGGGUCUAAAGUGUUCGUAGCUGGUUGUAUAAGUUUCUUGUGAAAGUUCUGUAGCUUAACUCAGAAUUGCAAGAAAUACUGUAUAACUUGAGACCGGAAGAGGUGUAAAGUAUGAAUUGGGUAGCGGUAAAAUGCUAUAAUCCUUUUCAGACUAACUAAGGCGAAGGCAUUACACUAAGACGGAUCUGACAGUGAGGAACGAAAGCUAGGGGAGCGAACCGGAUUAGAUA
Molecule: ribosomal RNA, 279 nt
Filed under: uncultured bacterium
Lineage: Bacteria
Description: partial 16S ribosomal RNA
Rfam family: Archaeal small subunit ribosomal RNA
Source: RNAcentral